GACGAACGCUGGCGGCGCGCUUAACACAUGCAAGUCGAGCGAAGCGGCGGACGGGUGAGUAACACGUGAGUAACCUGCCUUUUACACAGGGAUAGCCUCGGUCAACCGGGAUUAAAACCUGAUGGUAAAAGAUGGACUCGCGUCCCAUUAGCUGGUUGGUGAGGUAACGGCCCACCAAGGCAACGAUGGGUAGCCGGCCUGGGAGGGGGAACGGCCACGUUGGAAAUGAGAAACGGUCCAAACUCUACGGGAGGCGGAAGUGGGGAAUAUUGCACAAUGGGGGAAGCCCUGAUGCGGCGACGCGGCGUGAGCGAAGAAGGCUUUCGGGUCGUAAAGCUAUUUUAUAUGGGAAGCGGUACCAGAAGAAAAAGCCCCGGCUAACUACGUGCCAGCAGCCGCGGUAAUAC
This 407-nucleotide ribosomal RNA is filed under the name uncultured bacterium. RNAcentral's name for it is "partial 16S ribosomal RNA". It matches the Rfam family "Bacterial small subunit ribosomal RNA", at positions 28 to 526 of the family's 1533-position model. The record is from RNAcentral.